Molecule: ribosomal RNA, 742 nt
Filed under: uncultured bacterium
Lineage: Bacteria
Description: bacterial SSU rRNA
Rfam family: Bacterial small subunit ribosomal RNA
Source: RNAcentral
AGAGUUUGAUCCUGGCUCAGAACGAACGCUGGCGGCAUGCCUAAUACAUGCAAGUCGAACGAGAUCUUCGGAUCUAGUGGCGCACGGGUGCGUAACGCGUGGGAAUCUGCCCUUGGGUUCGGAAUAACUUCUGGAAACGGAAGCUAAUACCGGAUGAUGACGUAAGUCCAAAGAUUUAUCGCCCAAGGAUGAGCCCGCGUAGGAUUAGCUAGUUGGUGAGGUAAAGGCUCACCAAGGCGACGAUCCUUAGCUGGUCUGAGAGGAUGAUCAGCCACACUGGGACUGAGACACGGCCCAGACUCCUACGGGAGGCAGCAGUAGGGAAUAUUGGACAAUGGGCGAAAGCCUGAUCCAGCAAUGCCGCGUGAGUGAUGAAGGCCUUAGGGUUGUAAAGCUCUUUUACCCGGGAUGAUAAUGACAGUACCGGGAGAAUAAGCUCCGGCUAACUCCGUGCCAGCAGCCGCGGUAAUACGGAGGGAGCUAGCGUUGUUCGGAAUUACUGGGCGUAAAGGGCGCGUAGGCGGACUUGUAAGUCGGGAGUGAAAACUCGGGGCUCAACCCCGAGCCUGCUUCCGAAACUGCGAGUCUUGAGGACCGGAGAGGAAAGUGGAAUUCCUAGUGUAGCGGUGGAAUGCGUAGAUAUUAGGAAGAACACCAGUGGCGAAGGCGACUUUCUGGACGGUUCCUGACGCUGAGGCGCGAAAGCUAGGGGAGCAAACAGGAUUAGAUACCCUGGUAGUCC